RNAcentral lists this ribosomal RNA (488 nucleotides) under uncultured bacterium. Its description in RNAcentral is "partial 16S ribosomal RNA". It matches the Rfam family "Bacterial small subunit ribosomal RNA", at positions 30 to 506 of the family's 1533-position model. The record is from RNAcentral.
AUUGAACGCUGGCGGCAGGCUUAACACAUGCAAGUCGAGCGGUAGCACAGGGGAGCUUGCUCCCUGGGUGACGAGCGGCGGACGGGUGAGUAAUGUCUGGGAAACUGCCUGAUGGAGGGGGAUAACUACUGGAAACGGUAGCUAAUACCGCAUAACGUCGCAAGACCAAAGAGGGGGACCUUCGGGCCUCUUGCCAUCAGAUGUGCCCAGAUGGGAUUAGCUAGUAGGUGGGGUAAUGGCUCACCUAGGCGACGAUCCCUAGCUGGUCUGAGAGGAUGACCAGCCACACUGGAACUGAGACACGGUCCAGACUCCUACGGGAGGCAGCAGUGGGAAUAUUGCACAAUGGGCGCAAGCCUGAUGCAGCCAUGCCGCGUGUGUGAAGAAGGCCUUCGGGUUGUAAAGCACUUUCAGCGAGGAGGAAGGUGGUGAGCUUAAUACGUUCAUCAAUUGACGUUACUCGCAGAAGAAGCACCGGCUAACUCCGU